RNAcentral lists this ribosomal RNA (449 nucleotides) under uncultured prokaryote. Its description in RNAcentral is "bacterial SSU rRNA". It matches the Rfam family "Bacterial small subunit ribosomal RNA", at positions 355 to 796 of the family's 1533-position model. The record is from RNAcentral.
UGGGGAAUUUUGCGCAAUGGGCGAAAGCCUGACGCAGCGACGCCGCGUGUACGAUGAAGGCCUUUGGGUCGUAAAGUACUGUCAACGGGGACGAACGCCUCAGAUUGAAUAGGUCUGAGGUCUGACGGUACCCGUGGAGGAAGCACCGGCUAACUCUGUGCCAGCAGCCGCGGUAAUACGGAGGAUGCAAGCGUUAUCCGGAAUGAUUGGGCGUAAAGCGUCUGCAGGUGGCUAUGCAAGUCUGCUGUUAAAGAGUGGAGCUCAACUCCAUAAGGGCAGUGGAAACUGCGUAACUAGAGUACGUUCGGGGUAGAGGGAAUUCCUGGUGUAGCGGUGAAAUGCGUAGAUAUCAGGAAGAACACCGGUGGCGAAAGCGCUCUACUAGGCCGUAACUGACACUGAGAGACGAAAGCUAAGGGAGCGAAUGGGAUUAGAUACCCCUGUAGUCC